Non-coding RNA from Pelobates cultripes (western spadefoot toad), 224 nucleotides. NCBI's taxonomy places the organism in Eukaryota, Metazoa, Chordata, Amphibia, Anura, Pelobatidae. The record is from the annotation of a GenBank genome assembly.
CCUCUAGUAGUCCAGAGAGCAAAGCAGGCUGCACUUAAAAGAGCAAGUGUUGCAAUCCAAGGGAGUAAAGUGAUUAUAGCAAUCCCCAGAGUGAUAAUAGCUCUCCAAUUCCCCAAACAUGAGCCAUGACUUCAUGAAGGGGUAAAGCGUUCUGUUUAAUGGAAGCCACACACGGCCUUUUAUGUCAGGGCAUUCCCCACUAGAGAGUAGACUUCAGCAAAAAU